GCCGGGAUGACAGAGCGGCUUAUGUGACCGCCUGCAAAGCGGUUUACCCGGGUUCGAAUCCCGGUCCCGGCU
This 72-nucleotide transfer RNA is filed under the name Nanohaloarchaea archaeon H01. Its description in RNAcentral is "tRNA-Cys". It matches the Rfam family "tRNA". Rfam says of the family: Transfer RNA (tRNA) molecules are approximately 80 nucleotides in length. Their secondary structure includes four short double-helical elements and three loops (D, anti-codon, and T loops). Lineage: Archaea; Methanobacteriati; Methanobacteriota; Candidatus Nanohaloarchaea. The record is from RNAcentral.